GUAGACAUAAUUUAACCAAAAAUGUUGGAUUGUGAUUCCAAAAACAGAGGUUCAACCCCUCUUGUCCACC
This 70-nucleotide transfer RNA is filed under the name Ilisha elongata (elongate ilisha). RNAcentral describes it as "tRNA-His". It matches the Rfam family "tRNA". Rfam says of the family: Transfer RNA (tRNA) molecules are approximately 80 nucleotides in length. Their secondary structure includes four short double-helical elements and three loops (D, anti-codon, and T loops). Lineage: Eukaryota; Metazoa; Chordata; Actinopteri; Clupeiformes; Pristigasteridae. The record is from RNAcentral.